Molecule: long non-coding RNA, 293 nt
Organism: Triticum aestivum (bread wheat)
Lineage: Eukaryota; Viridiplantae; Streptophyta; Magnoliopsida; Poales; Poaceae
Exons: 3
Source: RefSeq, a predicted model, not a curated record
UUUUGGCAUACUGUAUUGUUUCUUGAUUGUGUUAGCCUCAAACUUUUUGCUUUGCUGUUAUGUAAUUUCACUCUUAGUUUGUUAGCCAAUUAGGUGUCAAUUACUCAGGAAAUUCAGCUUCAAUUGGUUGGGAUCAGAUGGAAGGAUGUAAACUAUACUGGAGUUAUACAGUCGUCAAUCUGUAGCUUACCAAGGUCGGUAAUGGAAGGAGCUUGGGGUGUUUCUAAUCACAACAAGGUAACACACACAUUAAUAUUAGAUGGAGUGGAGAUAACAAAUGGGAGAACCACAAA